CGGCUGGACCGGCUUCACUGGUUCUGCGUAGCAAGGUUCUGAUGACCCACCGGCUGUAUAGAACUAAGAUGGCCGCUGUUGUUGGACUGGGUCAGGCAGGACCAAGAUGGAUGAAACCGGUUCUGUUGUGGGUCCAUCAGAACUGGGUUUAGAACUCAGCAGGAGAAUGGCUGAAAACUAGAAGAGUGGAGGUGCUGAGUGGCCUAGUCAAAGUAUGGAGCCCAGCCUGACUGAAUGCUACGGCAGGAACAGAACCGGUUCUGUUGGGUCAGAACUGGUUUUGGUGCUGGCACUGUCCCAGCAUGCUUUGCUCUGCGCAAUCACCUGCUUCUGCUCCUGGUUCCAGUUCCGGUUCUGGUUCAGGUUUCGGUUCUGGUCCUUGUUCAGGUUCCUUUUCUUAUUUUGGUUCUGGUCCGAUGUUCAGCUUUGCGUCUGUAUGAAUAUUUCAGGCUGAAACAGGAAGUUAAAGUUUGAUGAGGAGGAAAUGAGGCGGAACGCUGCGACAAAACAUGCAUCCAUUAUGCAGGAUCCGCCAUGUUGGACUGACAUCAUCAGAGGAGGAAGGGCCGCCAUCAUCAUCAUCGUGGCGUUUUCUCGGUCUGGCCCUUUAAGAACCGCCUGGUCCCUUUAUCCCCUCAGGAUAACCAGCUGAAAACAUGCGGCCCGCAGCAUGACUCCUCCCUCCGGAUUCACAGCAAGACGAAUUAUUGUUCCAGCACUGACCCCAAGGAUCAGCUUGAACCUGCAGAGACAGAACCCGACCGCCGGUUCUGGUCCAAACUAAUGUCACAAUUCCAUCAGAACCAGAGACCAGGGGGAAUUGGCCGGUCGGUUAUCGGUUGAUCGAUUCUCAUUUCCUUAGUUUUGGAAGAUCAAUGAUCAGCCGAUAUUUUCAUGUGAAGAAAAAUUUCUCUUCCUCAGCAAAAGUCUACAGAUCAGCAACUGGAGGUUGCCGGGCAGGCAGCCCGACCCGGCCCGGCUCGCUUUCCGAACUUUUCUACCGGCUUCUUUUCGGAGCAGGCCCAGCCCAGCCAGUGACGCAAGCUUCGCUCCAGGUCACUGAUUGGCUGAGGGCGCGGUCAGACGGUCAGACGGAGCAGCAAAGAGAAGAAAAACGAGGCGCAACGUUUCAACUCGCUGCAACACGGAAGUGAUGAAGAUACAAACACCGACCCAGAUGCAGCUAACGCCGCCGCCGCUGCUCUCCAGCCAGAGAACAGAAGAGGAGGAACAUGGCUGACAUGAUGGAGAACGAUGAGGAGAACCGUCAGAACAACAACUGGAUCUCCUUCAGGAGGAAGCAGCUACCAGCUGAUGGCAGAGCUCCACGAAGAGCCGAGGCAAAUAAAAGAAGAAAAUAAAUGCUGUUUUCUCUCAGUGAACAAA
Molecule: long non-coding RNA, 1386 nt
Organism: Xiphophorus maculatus (southern platyfish)
Lineage: Eukaryota; Metazoa; Chordata; Actinopteri; Cyprinodontiformes; Poeciliidae
Exons: 2
Source: RefSeq, a predicted model, not a curated record